This 460-nucleotide ribosomal RNA is filed under the name uncultured bacterium. RNAcentral describes it as "partial 16S ribosomal RNA". It matches the Rfam family "Bacterial small subunit ribosomal RNA", at positions 338 to 795 of the family's 1533-position model. The record is from RNAcentral.
CCUACGGGAGGCUGCAGUGAGGAAUAUUGGUCAAUGGACGAGAGUCUGAACCAGCCAAGUAGCGUGAAGGAUGACUGCCCUAUGGGUUGUAAACUUCUUUUAUAUGGGAAUAAAAUGUUCCACGUGUGGGAUUUUGUAUGUACCAUAUGAAUAAGGAUCGGCUAACUCCGUGCCAGCAGCCGCGGUAAUACGGAGGAGCCGAGCGUUAUCCGGAUUUAUUGGGUUUAAGGGGAGCGUAGGUGGAUUGUUAGGUCACUUGGAAAUGUUUGCGGCUAAACCGUAAAAUUGCAGUUGAAACUGGCAGUCUUGAGUACAGUAGAGGUGGGCGGAAUGCGUGGUGUAGCGGUGAAAUGCUUAGAUAUCACGAAGAACUCCGAUUGCGAAGGCAGUUCACUGGACUGCAACUGACACUGAGGCUCGAAAGUGUGGGUAUCAAACAGGAUUAGAUACCCUAGUAGUC